RNAcentral lists this ribosomal RNA (497 nucleotides) under uncultured bacterium. RNAcentral describes it as "partial 16S ribosomal RNA". It matches the Rfam family "Bacterial small subunit ribosomal RNA", at positions 28 to 507 of the family's 1533-position model. The record is from RNAcentral.
GAUGAACGCUGGCGGCGUGCCUAAUACAUGCAAGUCGAGCGAACGGACGAGAAGCUUGCUUCUCUGAUGUUAGCGGCGGACGGGUGAGUAACACGUGGAUAACCUACCUAUAAGACUGGGAUAACUUCGGGAAACCGUAGCUAAUACCGGAUAAUAUUUUGAACCGCAUGGUUCAAAAGUGAAAGACGGUCUUGCUGUCACUUAUCGAUGGAUCCGCGCUGCAUUAGCUAGUUGGUAAGGUAACGGCUUACCAAGGCAACGAUGCAUAGCCGACCUGAGAGGGUGAUCGGCCACACUGGAACUGAGACACGGUCCAGACUCCUACGGGAGGCAGCAGUAGGGAAUCUUCCGCAAUGGGCGAAAGCCUGACGGAGCAACGCCGCGUGAGUGAUGAAGGUCUUCGGAUCGUAAAACUCUGUUAUUAGGGAAGAACAUAUGUGUAAGUAACUGUGCACAUCUUGGCGGUACCUAAUCAGAAAGCCACGGCUAACUACGUG